This 331-nucleotide unclassified non-coding RNA is filed under the name soil metagenome. RNAcentral describes it as "partial contains 5.8S ribosomal RNA, internal transcribed spacer 2, and large subunit ribosomal RNA". The stretch from base 2 to 119 matches the Rfam family "5.8S ribosomal RNA", at positions 37 to 154 of the family's 154-position model. The record is from RNAcentral.
GUGAAGAACGUAGCGAAAUGCGAUAAGUAAUGUGAAUUGCAGAAUUCAGUGAAUCAUCGAAUCUUUGAACGCACAUUGCGCCCCUUGGUAUUCCGGGGGGCAUGCCUGUUCGAGCGUCAUUAUCACCCCUCAAGCUCAGCUUGGUGUUGGGGCCUGCCCGUCACAGGGCAGCCCUUAAAAGCAGUGGCGGUGCCUCUGGGCUCUACGCGUAGUAAUUCUUCUCGCUAUGGAGUCCUGGUGGAUGCUUGCCAUCAACCCCCAAUUUUUCUAUGGUUGACCUCGGAUCAGGUAGGGAUACCCGCUGAACUUAAGCAUAUCAAUAAGCGGAGGA